This 253-nucleotide ribosomal RNA is filed under the name uncultured bacterium. RNAcentral's name for it is "partial 16S ribosomal RNA". It matches the Rfam family "Bacterial small subunit ribosomal RNA", at positions 524 to 776 of the family's 1533-position model. The record is from RNAcentral.
UACGGAGGGUGCAAACGUUGUUCGGAAUCACUGGGCAUAAAGCGCACGUAGGCUGUCUCGUAAGUGUGGAGUGAAAUCCCACGGCUCAACCGUGGAACUGCUUGGCAUACUGCGAGACUCGAGGACGGUAGGGGAGAGCGGAACUCCUGGUGGAGCGGUGAAAUGCGUAGAUAUCAGGAGGAACACCGGUGGCGAAGGCGGGCCUCUGGGCCGAUACUGACGCUGAGGAGCGAAAGCGUGGGGAGCGAACAGG